Molecule: non-coding RNA, 74 nt
Organism: Parelaphostrongylus tenuis
Lineage: Eukaryota; Metazoa; Nematoda; Chromadorea; Rhabditida; Metastrongylidae
Source: the annotation of a GenBank genome assembly
GUAUUAGUAGUGUAACGGAUAGAGCACGCGCUCCCGGAUAGAGCGAGGUGCAGGUUCGAGUCCUGCCUGAAGCG